UAUUCGUUAUCACUGGUCACAUUGAAAAUGUGAAAUAAGCACCUACAACAUAGACUUUACAACACUUCAUGUUUCAUAUCAUGGGGUGUUUUUCU
This is a non-coding RNA of Streptococcus pneumoniae SP6-BS73, 95 nucleotides long. Lineage: Bacteria; Bacillati; Bacillota; Bacilli; Lactobacillales; Streptococcaceae. The record is from Rfam.